AAGACGACGAGGUAGAUAGGUCAGAGGUGGAAGUGUGGUAACACAUGUAGCUGACUGAUACUAAUAGGUCGAAGUCAUGACCAA
Molecule: ribosomal RNA, 84 nt
Filed under: Lachnospiraceae bacterium
Lineage: Bacteria; Bacillati; Bacillota; Clostridia; Lachnospirales; Lachnospiraceae
Description: partial 23S ribosomal RNA
Rfam family: Bacterial large subunit ribosomal RNA
Source: RNAcentral